GCCCUCACUAAAGGAAUUAGAACUCUUCAAAUAAAGAGAUAGUACUCGUCGUAUAUUUUGGCGGCAAAAUGCGAGCAACUUGUUGGAAGCAGCAGUUUCUAAUGAACGUUCCAGAUUCUAAACGAUUCUUAUUCCUUAAAAGUGGUUUUGGUUCGAUUUUGGUAACCCUGGAAUUUUACAGAAUGAUGCCAUUGAGCUAAUGGAUCCGGAAGCGAAAUCCCAGUUUUUCACAACUGUCAACUUCUAUGGCACUUCUAGAAAAAGAAAACGAAUUGAAAAGAAAUUGGAGCAAAAAGCUGCAAAAUACUCCGAAGAAUUAAUUCCAAAGAAGUUUCCUUCGAGGUGAGUUAAUUUUGAACACGGGAGAUAACAAACUUAAGG
Long non-coding RNA from Octopus bimaculoides (California two-spot octopus), 381 nucleotides. NCBI's taxonomy places the organism in Eukaryota, Metazoa, Mollusca, Cephalopoda, Octopoda, Octopodidae. The record is from RefSeq and is a predicted model, not a curated record.